UUUGAUCUUAGCCAUUCUGACUGAUG
Molecule: non-coding RNA, 26 nt
Filed under: Mus musculus (house mouse)
Lineage: Eukaryota; Metazoa; Chordata; Mammalia; Rodentia; Muridae
Source: RNAcentral